RNAcentral lists this ribosomal RNA (407 nucleotides) under Escherichia coli. RNAcentral describes it as "partial 23S ribosomal RNA". It matches the Rfam family "Bacterial large subunit ribosomal RNA", at positions 2524 to 2925 of the family's 2925-position model. Lineage: Bacteria; Pseudomonadati; Pseudomonadota; Gammaproteobacteria; Enterobacterales; Enterobacteriaceae. The record is from RNAcentral.
CCUCGAUGUCGGCUCAUCACAUCCUGGGGCUGAAGUAGGUCCCAAGGGUAUGGCUGUUCGCCAUUUAAAGUGGUACGCGAGCUGGGUUUAGAACGUCGUGAGACAGUUCGGUCCCUAUCUGCCGUGGGCGCUGGAGAAUUGAGGGGGGCUGCUCCUAGUACGAGAGGACCGGAGUGGACGCAUCACUGGUGUUCGGGUUGUCAUGCCAAUGGCACUGCCCGGUAGCUAAAUGCGGAAGAGAUAAGUGCUGAAAGCAUCUAAGCACGAAACUUGCCCCGAGAUGAGUUCUCCCUGACUCCUUGAGAGUCCUGAAGGAACGUUGAAGACGACGACGUUGAUAGGCCGGGUGUGUAAGCGCAGCGAUGCGUUGAGCUAACCGGUACUAAUGAACCGUGAGGCUUAACCUU